RNAcentral lists this unclassified non-coding RNA (1379 nucleotides) under Hevea brasiliensis (rubber tree). Lineage: Eukaryota; Viridiplantae; Streptophyta; Magnoliopsida; Malpighiales; Euphorbiaceae. The record is from RNAcentral.
GACUCAGUAAAUUGCUGCAUACUUUUCAUGUACAUAUCCACAAUAUCCUGUUGCACAACCUUCUGCUCUGGCUCAAUGACCACUGGCUUUGGAAAUGCACUGGGUGGCUUGCUUUCCGAUAUGUUGCUCUCAGCAUUUCCAACAUUAUUUUUACCUGUGGGACAUUCUUUAGAAGCUGAUGCAUAUUCUUCCUCUGGCGACUUGGAAGCUCCUUGGGUCUCGGAGGACUGAGAGCUUGCGGGAUGCAAAACUGUUGGAGAGUCAAUGGUUGAUAUGCUGCUAGGAGGCGAAUCACGCUUAGGAUAUUGGUGGAAAUUAGUAGCCUCACUUGGAACAUUUUCCAUAUGGACAUCGACUUCUAGACUGAGCUGGUUUUCCGUAUCAGAAGAGACCAAGCUAUCCGAGCUUUGAGAAUCUGGAUUACUGCUUGGCAUAUUGAAGUACUCGGAGACCAUGAGAUUAUUCUCAUUUACAAUCUUAGGAUCUGGGAACUCAAUUUUGUCAAACUCAUUUGGAAGGGACUCACGUGCUUCGCCGUCUGUCCGAGAUGCAUCAGUUUCUAAUAUGGGAAAAGCAGGAAUUUCAAUAACUUCAGGUGAAGUUCCAUUGUAAGAAAGGGACAAGUGCACAAAUCCUGCUGGGGAGUGAAAGAGAUCAGUCGACGAAAGAGAGAACUCUUUUUCUAGCUUUCCAUUUUUCAUGAGGAUUUCAGAUAAGGGGACUAGUGCAAAUCCCAACAAUUGGUCUUCCAAAUAAUUCCUCACCCUGCUCAUCAUCCAUAUCUCACAUUUAACAGAACAUUUUAUCGUACGAACAUUGAGCUUUAGAUUUUCGUUGAAGACUGGACUUUUCCCACCGCCAUUAAUGGUUUGAGUGGAGACUGCACUUUCAGGAUCACUUGUAAGGCAAAGUUUUGCAUAAACAUCUUGUUUAUGGUAAAUGCAGAUGUUGUGGAUAUCUCUAGCCUGAUGUACGUACACGUCGAGAACACCAAUGAAGUCCUCCAUGUUGCAGAUUUCAACAUCCUCUCUAUGAGCAGAAAUUCCCCGGGAUAGACCAGAAGCGUUCUUGCUGAAAAAUUCAUUGCUUUGCUUCUCAGAGUCCGCGAAAACGGAGGAACUCUUAAAUGGUGACACAACAGACUGUGGAGAAUCCAUGAAGCUGACCACAAAUAUAACCAACAGACUGAGUCUCUGAUUAUCAAGCCAAAAAUCUACCCAAAAGAGUGAUCUUUUAUGGAAAAUGAAGAAAACCCAACUCUUAAAACGAAGCAAAGGAUGAGAAUAAUUGUGAUUUGCAGAGAAUAAAAUCAACAAGAAUGAUGAUAGUGGAUUUGGAAGUUUGUCAGAAAGUCCCCUAAAUAUUUGUGCUCUAAUUUU